This is a non-coding RNA of Dendroctonus ponderosae (mountain pine beetle), 195 nucleotides long. The record is from Rfam. NCBI's taxonomy places the organism in Eukaryota, Metazoa, Arthropoda, Insecta, Coleoptera, Curculionidae.
CACUGACAUCAGUGAUUCGUUUUGCGAACCCUGACCCACUGCCAGAUAGGCAUUCAUUCCCAGCUCUUUCAUCUGCUGUUCGCCGAUGACGCGAGUCGUGAUGUUGCUGCUAAAAGCAUCGGCAAGCUGGCGAGCCUGCGAGGCAAGAUAGGCUGCGUUACAGAUAUUUGGCGGCAUAUUGCCAAGAUCUUUCGC